ACACGUAGGGGCCUGACGUUGUUCGGAAUCAUUGGGCGUAAAGGGCGCGCAGGCGGCCGUCCAAGUCCGGUGUUAAAUGGUCGGGCUCAACCCGAUCAUGCGCUGGAAACUGGGCGGCUUGAGUCCCGUAGGGGAUGCCGGAAUUCCAGGUGUAGGGGUGAAAUCUGUAGCUAUCUGGAAGAACACCGAUGGCGAAGGCAGGCAGCUGGCCAGAGACUGACGCUGAGGCGCGAGGGCGCGGGGAGCGAACAGGUUUAGAUUCCCUGGUAGUCCGCGCAGUAAUCGAUGCGCACCAGGGGUCGGGCGGCAGCGCCCGGUACCGGAGCUAACGCGAUGAGUGCGCCGCCUGGGGAGUAUGCCCGCAAGGGUGAAACUCAAAGGAAUUGGCGGGG
This 392-nucleotide ribosomal RNA is filed under the name uncultured bacterium. RNAcentral describes it as "partial 16S ribosomal RNA". It matches the Rfam family "Bacterial small subunit ribosomal RNA", at positions 523 to 918 of the family's 1533-position model. The record is from RNAcentral.